RNAcentral lists this unclassified non-coding RNA (320 nucleotides) under Bombus terrestris (buff-tailed bumblebee). RNAcentral's name for it is "misc RNA ENSBTSG00005028450.1". The record is from RNAcentral. Lineage: Eukaryota; Metazoa; Arthropoda; Insecta; Hymenoptera; Apidae.
AAGAUUUUAGUAUAAGAUUACAUAUAUAAUAUCAAAUUACCUUAACAGAAAAUAUAUUUCCAUGAUGACGUGUACGAAGUAUUAACUUUUUUUCAUAUCGAAAUGGAUCCCAUAAUAUAAUAUUCAUAUCAUCAGAUGCAGAAGCAAGAAUUCUAAAAAUUGCCCACUUUCAUUCCAUUCUAAACAAUUAACACAUCCUGUAUGACCAACUAAUUCUUUUUCAAGUCCUAACCGGGAUAUCAAAUUUUCUGUCACAUGUAACUUCUGAGAAACUGCAUAUGCCACUGAAUCCUAAAUAAAAUAAUUUAAAUAGAAUUAAA